RNAcentral lists this ribosomal RNA (461 nucleotides) under uncultured bacterium. RNAcentral's name for it is "bacterial SSU rRNA". It matches the Rfam family "Bacterial small subunit ribosomal RNA", at positions 33 to 507 of the family's 1533-position model. The record is from RNAcentral.
CCGAGACACGCCGGCGGCGUGCCUAAGACAUGCAAGUCGAGCGGGGAGACUUCGGUCUCCCAGCGGCGGACGGGUGAGUAACGCGUGGGCAACCUGCCCUUCAGCCCGGGAUAACUGCCUGAAAGGGCGGCUAAUACCGGAUGCGGUGAAACGGACGCAUGUUGGUUUCACGAAAAUUACGGUGCUGAAGGAUGGGCCCGCGUCCCAUUAGCUGGUUGGUGAGGUAACGGCCCACCAAGGCGACGAUGGGUAGCCGGCCUGAGAGGGUGGACGACCACACUGGGACUGAGACACGGCCCAGACUCCUACGGGAGGCAGCAGUCGGGAAUCUUCCACAAUGGGCGAAAGCCUGAUGGAGCGACGCCGCGUGAGGGAAGAAGGUCUUCGGAUCGUAAACCUCUUUCAGUAGGGAAGAAGCGCAAGUGACGGUACCUACAGAAGAAGCACCGGCUAACUACGUG